Molecule: transfer RNA, 68 nt
Filed under: Marmota monax (woodchuck)
Lineage: Eukaryota; Metazoa; Chordata; Mammalia; Rodentia; Sciuridae
Description: tRNA.Thr
Rfam family: tRNA (bases 5-65)
About the family: Transfer RNA (tRNA) molecules are approximately 80 nucleotides in length. Their secondary structure includes four short double-helical elements and three loops (D, anti-codon, and T loops).
Source: RNAcentral
GGAUUGUGGCUCAGCGGUAGAGUGCUUGCCUCGUAUGUGGGAGACCCUGGGUUCGAGCCUCAGCACCA